CACCCGUUCUCAUUAUCCUAGGAUGUCUUUUAUUCGUUCUAUAAGAAUUCAAAUAUUUGAUUAUUUGGGUAUUUUGUCACGUGUAUCUAGAAUUUACGUUUACAAUUUGUAAUUACGCAAUUUCCGACUUUUGAGUUCUUCGAGGGUGCUCUUGAUAUUUUGUAAAUUUGAUUUGGUCAAUAGAAAAAUGUAAUUUUUGCCGAUUCUGAACGAC
Molecule: non-coding RNA, 214 nt
Organism: Cinara cedri
Lineage: Eukaryota; Metazoa; Arthropoda; Insecta; Hemiptera; Aphididae
Source: the annotation of a GenBank genome assembly